AAGAAGGUCUUCAGAUCGUAAAACCCUGUUGUUAGAGAAGAAAGUGCGUGAGAGUAACUGUUCACGUUUCGACGGUAUCUAACCAGAAAGCCACGGCUAACUACGUGCCAGCAGCCGCGGUAAUACGUAGGUGGCAAGCGUUAUCCGGAUUUAUUGGGCGUAAAGGGAACGCAGGCGGUCUUUUAAGUCUGAUGUGAAAGCCUUCGGCUUAACCGGAGUAGUGCAUUGGAAACUGGGAGACUUGAGUGCAGAAGAGGAGAGUGGAACUCCAUGUGUAGCGGUGAAAUGCGUAGAUAUAUGGAAGAACACCAGUGGCGAAAGCGGCUCUCUGGUCUGUAACUGACGCUGAGGUUCGAAAGCGUGGGUAGCAAACAGGAUUAGAUACCCUGGUAGUCCACGCCGUAAACGAUGAAUGCUAAGUGUUGGAGGGUUUCCGCCCUUCA
This 443-nucleotide ribosomal RNA is filed under the name uncultured bacterium. Its description in RNAcentral is "bacterial SSU rRNA". It matches the Rfam family "Bacterial small subunit ribosomal RNA", at positions 408 to 842 of the family's 1533-position model. The record is from RNAcentral.